GCCCGUCGCUCCUACCGAUUGGAUGACUCGGUGAAAUCACCGGAUGCUUACGAGCAGAAAGUGAUUAAAUCACGUUAUCUAGAGGAAGGAGAAGUCGUAACAAGGUAACGGUAGGUGAACCUGCCGUUGGAUCAGUUCUAGUUUUAAUAACUAACACCAACUUCUUUUUAUUAAACAAAAACCAAUACAAAAUUAAAAACUAACUUCAUCAAAAACCAAGUCUCUAAGCAAUGGAUGUCUUGGCUCCUCACACGAUGAAGAACGUGGCAUAAUGUGUUAAGUAACCGGAGUUGCAAACAUCAUGACAGGUUAAUCUUUGAAUGCAAAUUGCGCUAAACUCGAUCUCGGUCGAGAAGCAUGGGUGUGACAGUACUACAU
Molecule: ribosomal RNA, 378 nt
Filed under: Trichomonas vaginalis G3
Lineage: Eukaryota; Parabasalia; Trichomonadida; Trichomonadidae
Description: 5.8S ribosomal RNA
Rfam family: Eukaryotic small subunit ribosomal RNA (bases 1-137)
Source: RNAcentral